UCUGGUGAUUAAAGAUCAGUGGAACCACCCGUCCCCAUCUCGAACACGGAAGUGAAACACUAAUAUACUGAUGAUAGUAUGACGAAAGGUCAUGUGAAAGUAGGUCGUUGCCAGUC
Molecule: ribosomal RNA, 116 nt
Filed under: Phragmitibacter flavus
Lineage: Bacteria; Pseudomonadati; Verrucomicrobiota; Verrucomicrobiia; Verrucomicrobiales; Verrucomicrobiaceae
Source: RNAcentral